UAUGAAUGCACUGUGAACCCACAUAGUUCAUCUUUUAUUUUUCAUUUUAUUUUAUUUUUCUUGAUUUGCUAAAAAACAUUGUGUCGUUGUAUAAUAUAAGUUGUACAUAAUGAGGCGGAUAAAGACUUAUUAGCCACUUUUCUAACUUUAUUAUGUUCUUGCAUACUUGAGGCAACGGAAUGUAUGUCAAUGGCGAUCGAACGAAAUCCCAACAACAGCAAAAAGGUUGCCUUUAUUAUGUUUACCUCCGACCUAAACAUAUUGUAUAAAUAUCAUACUAUGGAUCGUAUAAAAGAACUGGUUCAUAAGGAAAUGUUCUCGUUUUAACAUGCUAUCAUAGCCAAACUCAUUUAAAAACAACAUCCACCAUGAUUCAAAUCUGAAUCUAGUUCGUGUAUCAGUAAGGAAUUGCGGGGGUCAAGAAACCUACGUUGAAUGAAAUGAGGACACUGAAAAGUUUUGUGGUAUUUAAUUAGCAAAACUGUAUUAUUAGAUAUGAUGACGCUUAUUAAGUAAGCAUAUGAAUGGCCAUGGUCGUUGUUUUGUUAUUCUAGCAGUGGAGGAUUUUGGAUUUUCAAAUAAUAGGGUCAUGAUUUCGACCAAAAAAAUUGAUUGGACCAUUUCGUUGAGCACCUGGUAGGAACAUGUCUAUUAUUGCCAACAUCUAUUGAAGGCUUAUGCCAACAUAUGCCAACAACUAGUAUGAUAUGUAGAGGCUUGUCAAGAGUGGCUAUAGGAAACUGUAAAGUAAUGUUGAAUACGGCCAAGACUUGUCAAUUGAAGCAUUUCAUCAUUUUAUGGGCACAAUAGAGUCGCACACAAGAAGAGAGAACAAGGCAUGGAUGAUAAAAAAAAAAAAAAAGUAGAAGGAGGAGAUUGUAAUUUAGUUUGCUUUAAUUGUUUCUACUAUGGUCAAAUACAAUUCAUAUAUAAAUCUACAUAAUUUUUUGAAGAAGUUGGAGACCAAUGAUCCCAUAUUAACUCUACCACUAUAUUCUAUUCUAGUAUUAAAUUAGUCAAUUAAGAUCCACAUGUACUAAUGCUAAUGAAUUGAAUUUCGGUAAUUAGUGUCAGGUAUAUAGGUGGAUUAAUACGCAGUGACAUAAGUAAUUAAUAGUGGAAUUUAUUCAUGCCUACAAUAAGGCUAUAGAGGAAGCAUAUUGGCUUCAAAAGAUAUUAGAGGAUAUAGUCCUGGGCAUAUAAUGUGAUAGUUUGUCGAUUUGGGCAAGGCACAAUGUCUAAAUUGAAAAGAGUCAUUUGCAUUAUAAAAGAGAUAGUGAACAAUCUCUACUAUAAUAAUAAUAUUUUAAGGGCAUGAAGAGGUUAUAGACCUUCCUACAAGUACCGCAAGUGUGGGCGAACAUGCCAAGUGAUAGCAAAUUACUUACUAAGUCCCAAUAUAUGUGACGGGGACUUAACAUUCGAAACAACUACUCUCGUAUGAAAUAUAAAGUCAUAAGAUAGAAUGUGCACACAAUUGUAGAUAGUCAACUGAUCCAAUUAUUAAAGGUUUUCCUAUAGACUGAGUUGAUCAUCGAGGAGAAUGAGGCUAAAGCCAACAUAAUCAAUGAAUCAAUCGGGCAAAACCUAACUGAGUUGAUUGGAAAUCCCAGUCUAAGUUCAAUAGGCAAAUUGGUUAAGCAUGAUUCAAAUAAAGUUAACACACCAUAUAUCUCAUUCGUAUGGUGGCAAAGUGUGUUGUCUGAAGUUUUAGAUUUUAUAUUUAUACUUAAUGAUAUUGAUAUCUUAUAAUAAGAAGAACAAAGCAAACUAUUUGUUACACUUAUGGUUCCAAGAUACGCCUAGAAUUGGCAGCAAAAAGUAGUGGUACGAUGAUACAUAGAAUCAUACAUAACAUACAUAAGAUAUUAAGCAGAAACGAAAUUACGAUAAAAGGGCAACAAACCCUACUCUUGAGUGCAACUGCGCAAGAAAUAUCUCUACACAGUGGCAGAGCCACAUAGAGGUCAGGCUAGGCCUAGACCUAUCCUGGAAUUGGACGAAUAUAUAUGUAUUUGUGAUAGUUUUGAAAGAAUUGUUUGUAUUGAAAAUGUGUAAGGUUACAAGAAAGAGAACUUAUACAAGUGGAGAAGGAUGUCGUGAGUCACCCGAUGAACAUCACACACCAUGCUUCACACACUAAUAUUCUAACACCCAUACUUUACACAUUAAUAUUCUAACACCCAUACUUUACACAUUAACCCAUACCUAUAACCCAUACUUUGGAUAUUAGAUAUUCUACCCAUACCUAUAACCCAUACUUUGGAUAUUAAAUAAUCUAACACUCCCCCUCAAACGAAGGCUAGUAUAUUCAUCAAGCCAAGUUGGACCAAAAGAGUGUUGAAUUGAACCCGAGACAAUCCUUUGGUGAAGAUGUCUGCUAGUUGAUCUGUGCUCCGAACAAAAACAGGUUGAAUGACAUCAGAUUGGGUUUUUUCUCGAACAAAAUGACAGUCCAUUUCAAUGUGUUUGGUUCUUUCAUGAAAUACAGGAUUAGAUGCAAUGUAAAUAGCAGCUUGGUUAUCACAGAAAAGAGGCAUAGGCAGUGUUCUCUUGAACCCUAAGUCGUUGAGCAAACCUUGCAGCCAAAUUAACUCACAGGUAGUAGAUGCCAUGGCACGAUAUUCAGCUUCUGCACUUGAUCGAGCCACCACACUUUGUUUUUUGCUUUUCCAUGUCACCAGAUUUCCACCAACAAAUGUACAAUAUCCAGUAGUAGAUCUUCGAUCAAUUUUGGAGCCACCCCAGUCUGCAUCUGUGUAGCCAACAAUGUGAGCAUUUCCGAUCUUCCUCAUCACAAUCCCAGUUCCAACAGUGCCUUUCAAGUAGCGCAAGAUCCUUCGAACAGCUUGUAAGUGAAUUGAUCGAGGAGCAUGCAUGAACUGACUGACUAGGCUCACGGCAUGCAUGAUAUCAGGACGAGUAAUGGUAAGGUAAAUAAGUUUCCCUACCAAUCUCUGGUAUAAACCAACGUCUAUCAGUAAAUCUCCAUCUAAUCCAAGUUUCUCUUUGCAAGCUAUUGGGGUUGCCACUGGUUUUGCCUCAAGCAUUUUGGACUCUUGAAGUAAAUCAAGUAUGUACUUGCGUUGGUUCAAGAGCAAGCCUUUACUAGAUGAAGCAACUUCAAUGCCUAGAAAAUACUUCAGAGUUCCUAGAUCUUUAAUUGCAAACUUUUUGUGAAGAAAGCCCUUAAGUCGCUGAAUUUCUGUCAAACUAUCACCAGUCACAAUGAGAUCAUCGACAUAGAUGAGAACGACAAGUUUACCUGCUGAACUAUCUCGCACAAAUAGUGAGGAAUCUGCAUUGCUCCUUUUAAAACCAAUGUUCUCUAACACAGAACUUAACUUGGCAUACCAAGCUCGAGGAGAUUGUUUGAGGCCAUAAAUGGCCUUGUGUAACUUGCAAACCAUGCCUCUUCUUCUUGUGGAUGUCCCGGAGGCAACUGCAUGUACACAUCUUCUUUAAGUUCUCCAUGCAGGAAGGCAUUCUUUAACAUCCAUUUGGUAUAGGGGCCAAUCAUGGUUGACAGCAACCGAGAGAAGCACUCUUACCGAGUUCAUCUUUGCCACAGGAGCAAAGGUUUCCUUGUAAUCAAUGCCAUAAGUUUGAGUAAAACCUCUAGCCACCAAUCUAGCUUUGUGUCUCUCCACUGAACCAUCACUCUUAAAUUUGGUUUUAUACACCCAUCGACACCCCACAGCUCUCAUCCCCUUAGGUAGCUUGGUGAUGCUCCAAGUUUUGUUUUCAUUUAGAGCUCUAAGCUCCUCAUCCAUAGCUGUUUGCCAGAUCAAUUGAGAGUUAGCUUCUUGGAAUGAGCUUGGUUCAGAUGAGGCUGAAAUUUUGCUUAGGAAAGCAGCAUGAGACGAAGAUACUCUUGAGUAUUCAAGAUAUUUUUCUAUAGGAUGUCUUGAGGCAUAACUUACAUAAUCUUUAAACCAAGUUGGCUUACCCCGAUUUCUACUAGGGUUUCUCCUUGGAGUGAUCACUUCAGGAGUAAUAGCAAGGUUCUCCUCGGACGAAAUUUGAUUUUGUUCAGUGUCUUCAGUUGAUUCAUUAUCAACAAGUAUGUCAGAUGAUGAAUUACACUCAACUGGAUCAAUCGAAAUUUCAUUGUUGCUUGGUUGAUCUGGAGCUGAAAAAUGAUGAGGCAGUGCAUUGAUUUCCAUAAUUGGCGUGAGGAUUUGAUCAAGAAAGUCCUCCUCCCCAGAAGAUCUUCACCCCUGGUACUAGCAAAAAAAGGAGUUUUCUCGUCAAAAAACCACAUCUCUAGACACCAAAAGUUUCCUGCGCUUUGGGUCAUAGCACUUAUAUCCCUUUUGAACAGAUGAGUACCCUAAGAACAAACACCUUACAGCUCUAGGGUCCAAUUUAUCUCGAUGCAAGGUUUGAAUAUGAACAAAGCAAACACAUCCAAACACUCGAAGGUGAGACAAGUUAAUUUUCCUGCCAUUAAGUGUUUCAAGAGGUGCCUUGAAUUUGAGAACCUUGCUUGGAAGCCUAUUAAUUACAUAUGCAGCAGUAAGAACCCCAUGAGACCAGAAUUUCUUAGGUACACUCAUUUGAAGCAUAAGUGAUCGAGUUUUCUCCAGUAGAUCACGGUUUCUUCCUUUCUGCUACUCCGUUUUGUUGCGGAGUACCAACACAGCUCGUUUGGUGAAUUAUUCCAUGACAAGUUAGAUAUUGAGUAAAAGCAUUAGACAUAUACUCAGUACCAUUGUCUGACCUUAAGACUUUAAGUUGGGUUGAGAACUGAUUUGUAACAAGACUGUGAAAUUCUUGGAACACAUUAAUAACUUCAUCUUUUGAUUUCAACAAAUACAACCAGGUACAUCUUGAGAAAUCAUCCACAAAGGUGACAAAGUAUCUAAAACCAUCAAAAGAAACCAAGGGUGCAGGUCCCCAAACAUCAGAGUGCACAAUCUCAAAAGGUUUACAUGACUUGGUUGAUGAGACAUCAAAAGGCAACCUCGUCUGUUUUUGAAAAAAUGGCAAACUUCACAAUCUUGAGUCAUCACAUUCUCUGAAGUUUUGAAGAGAUGUGAUUGCACAAGAUUAGAGGGAUGCCCUAAUCGUCUAUGCCAUAAUAGAUGAUUCUUCAAAAAACCAACUUGAAGACCUCUAGCUUCAACAGGUUGCAAUGAAAGCAUAUAGAGGCCAUCUUUAUACAUGCCUUCACCAAUCUUCUUCUUCGUGAUACGAUCCUGGAAAAUCACAUUGAAUGGCGAGAAUAUAACAUCACAGUUUAAGGAAUUUGUCAACCUUCCUACUGACAGAAGCUGAAAUGGAAAGGAGGGCACAUAUAGAGCAGUUGAUUCAACAUUAGUAUCAAUUAACUUGACUUUCCCUUCACCCAAAACUGAUACACCAGUUCCAUUAGCAACAGAGACAAAUUGCGGAAUAACUGCCUCUUUAAAGUCAUGCAUAUAUCUUUUUAUAUUUGUAAUGUGAUCAGUCGCUCCAGAGUCUAUUAUCCAAACAUUUGCAAGUUUUCUGGAAGCAAGUGCAGCACUAAAUGAGUUUAGAAUACCUGACAUAUCAACGGAAGAUGACACCUUUGUCUGAAGAAAUUUUGCGAACUGCUCAAAUAAUUCAGUGGUGCUAGCUUCACUGUUUCCUUUAUGAAGAUUGCUUUCAUCUUUCUUCUGAGUGAAGGAAGUGAACUCACUCAAGAGAGCUGAGGGAUUAGAUGUGAAGUUCCCAACAGUUGAGGCAGUCUGCAAGCGAGGGACUUGAUUUGCACUGCGACCAGGUUUGGUUUGUUUGGAAAAGUUAGGCUUAAGGUGUGGAUACAACACCCAACAAGUGUCUCUGAGAUGAUUCUUCUGUCCACAAUGACUGCAUUGCAUUUCUCCUUUCUUUCCUUUGAAAUUUUUUCCUUCAAACCUUCUGUCACUUGCAACGAAAGCUCUAGACUCAGGAUCACCAACCUUAGUACUCAUAACUUUCCUUCUUGCUUCUUCUCGUUGAACGAUAGUGCACACAGUAUUGAGAGAUGGUAGUUCAACACUCAUCAAUAUGUGGCUUCGCAGGUCCUCAUAGGUAGAGUCAAGACUGGAUAAAAGCUGAAAGACCUUGUCUUCUUCAGCCUGCUUAAGAAGGAUUGCUGGGUCUGUAGUGUGAGGUCGAUAGAGAUUCAGCUCAUUCCACAUAGACUUCAGUCUUCCCAAGUGCUCGAUAAAAGUCUUUCCAUCUUGAUUCAAAACAGAAAGACUCUUCUGCAGCUCAAAUAUCCUGGCUGCAUUAUUUUGAUUUCCAUACAUCUCCUUGACAGCCUUCCACAGAUCAAAAGCUGAUUCUGAAAAGCUGAAAAUUUCUGAUACCUUUGAGCCCAUUGAGUUGAGCAACCAGGACAUGACGAGCUGAUCCUUGCAGAACCAUUCUUCAUACUUAGAAUCACCAACCUUGGGAAGGUACGAUAGUUCCAUUGAUGAAACCAAGCUUAGAUCUUCCUCCAAGAGCUAAAGUAAUAGCUCUUGACCAAGGAAGAUAAUUAAACUCAGUUAGGAGUAUGGAACAAAGACGUUGAUUGGGAUUUCCAUCAGCUUCACUUGAAGAAACUGAUGAAGAACCAAGGAUGUUCUCGGAUGAAGCAGCAAGUAUAUUUUCUUCUUCCAUUUCAAAAGAUUUCAGAGAACAGGUUCUUUAGGAAGCCUGCUCUGAUACCAUGUGAUAGUUUUGAAAGAAUUGUUUGUAUUGAAAAUGUGUAAGGUUACAAGAAAGAGAACUUAUACAAGUGGAGAAGGAUGUCGUGAGUCACCGAUGAACAUCACACACCAUGCUUCACACACUAAUAUUCUAACACCCAUACUUUACACAUUAAUAUUCUAACACCCAUACCUUUACACAUUAACCCAUACCUAUAACCCAUACUUUGGAUAUUAGAUAUUCUACCCAUACCUAUAACCCAUACUUUGGAUAUUAA
RNAcentral lists this long non-coding RNA (6922 nucleotides) under Malus domestica (apple). RNAcentral's name for it is "long non-coding RNA (MDOM_LNC011455)". The record is from RNAcentral. Lineage: Eukaryota; Viridiplantae; Streptophyta; Magnoliopsida; Rosales; Rosaceae.